RNAcentral lists this ribosomal RNA (482 nucleotides) under uncultured bacterium. Its description in RNAcentral is "partial 16S ribosomal RNA". It matches the Rfam family "Bacterial small subunit ribosomal RNA", at positions 30 to 507 of the family's 1533-position model. The record is from RNAcentral.
AUUGAACGCUGGCGGCAUGCUUUACACAUGCAAGUCGAACGGUAACAGGCCGCAAGGUGCUGACGAGUGGCGAACGGGUGAGUAAUGCAUCGGAACGUGCCCAGUCGUGGGGGAUAACUACUCGAAAGAGUAGCUAAUACCGCAUACGAUCUAUGGAUGAAAGCGGGGGACCGCAAGGCCUCGCGCGAUUGGAGCGGCCGAUGUCAGAUUAGGUAGUUGGUGGGGUAAAGGCUCACCAAGCCAACGAUCUGUAGCUGGUCUGAGAGGACGACCAGCCACACUGGGACUGAGACACGGCCCAGACUCCUACGGGAGGCAGCAGUGGGGAAUUUUGGACAAUGGGCGCAAGCCUGAUCCAGCAAUGCCGCGUGCAGGAAGAAGGCCUUCGGAUUGUAAACUGCUUUUGUACGGAACGAAACGGCUCUGGUUAAUACCCGGGGCUAAUGACGGUACCGUAAGAAUAAGCACCGGCUAACUACGUG